Non-coding RNA from Clathrospora elynae, 111 nucleotides. The record is from the annotation of a GenBank genome assembly. Lineage: Eukaryota; Fungi; Ascomycota; Dothideomycetes; Pleosporales; Diademaceae.
GGUGAGAUGGCCGAGUUGGUUAUGGCGCCAGGUUAAGGUUUCCCUUAAUAUCGCGGAUUUAUCUGCUUCCUGGUCACGAAAGUGGCGUGGGUUCGAGUCCCACUCUCAUCA